Long non-coding RNA from Lycium barbarum (goji berry), 2073 nucleotides. RefSeq lists it as uncharacterized. The record is from RefSeq and is a predicted model, not a curated record. The transcript is spliced from 3 exons. Lineage: Eukaryota; Viridiplantae; Streptophyta; Magnoliopsida; Solanales; Solanaceae.
CUAAUUAUCUAAUUCUCAAUGUUUCAGGUGAUGCAUCAAAAUCAUAGUAAUGUGGAUGUGUGAAUUCAGCCCCAAACAACUUGUUGUCUUUAUUACUAGCCUUUUUGGCUUAUUAACCUUUCUAAUUUAUUAUUUCAAGUGGAUGUGUGAAUUCAACAACAAACAACUUUUUUUUUUUUGUGGUAAAUAACAAACAACUUCUUACCUUUAUUACUAGCUUUUUUUGGCUUAUUAACCUUUCUAAUUUAUAAGGUUGUAAAUCUCAUAUUUGGUCCUAGAAUGUGAUUUGUUUUUAAUCUCUGUACUUUCAGAGCUGUCUACAACUCCUCAAUGUCUGCAGAGAAUUCCGGCGGAAAACAAAUGUCUAAAAUAGAGAAGAGAUUUCCUGAUACUUUUUUGUUUUGGGAAACUCGAAAAGGGAGGAUUGAGGAUGGGAAGUUGAGAGGACAUGGAAUGCAAGUCGGAGAUACUGUUUCGGGGCCACGGGCAGACUUAUCUUCUGUUGAAGUCAAAGGCGGCCUCUACCAAAUUUAUGCAGUCCAUUGUUUCAGAAGUUCAUCGAGUACAUCCUUCAGAAUGUGAAGGAUAUUUUCAUCAACGAGAAGGAGCUGGAGAAGUUUUUUCUUCUGAAGAAAGAGUUUCAAAUCCUUGAAGAAGGUCUCAAGUAUCUCAAAACCUUCCUCAAUUUCAUAAAAGACGCAAGCAUGGAACUAGAGAAAUCCAAAAUUCUCUUUAAUCAUAUGGAGGUUGUCACUCGGAAUGCUGCUUACAUCUGUUACCUAUGUCACGUGGAAGAAACAGAUGAAGACAUGGCAUCUCACUUGAGACUCAAGAUCUCAACUGUUUUGCAAGAGAUCAAGCCCAUUAAGCCCCAAAUCGCCCAUAAUCUAAUCUUGUUUUAGCUUGCAAUUGUUUUUUAGGAAACUUGCAGCACUCAUAGACGGUAGGACAAACCUGCACUCGUGGAUUAGAAUCAUCAAUAGCUGCAGCUAAUGCAAGGAAUACUUGGUUAUGGUAUUUUUCUUGCAAAUGCGGAGAGAACUCACGCAACAACUGACAAAUUGCAUAGCAAGUUGCACAUCUAGCUCGAGGAUGAGGAUCUUGGCAACAAUUGAGAAAAACAGUCACCAGCUGCUCCAAAUUCUUAAUCAUCACCUAUAAGAGGAAAGAAGCCAUUAAUUCAAGCAUAUGGAAGGGUAGAGAAAAUCUCCUUUAGUCUAUGAAGGUGGCAACAGUGAUUACAAAGGACAUACGCCGCCCGAUUCUCCCAUUCAAACAUUUCGGGCCUGCUCGUCUGCAACCUCACCUUUGCUCAAAUAUGCGUCAGUCAACGUCUUCAUCAUUCCCGGCAACAAAUCCUGGAAACGCUCCUUUUCGUUUGAACUCAGCAUACGCUGAAUGAAUCUGAUCACAGCUCUCAUGGCUGCGAUCCUCACGUAUAGAUCAAGGGUAUCAUCAUUCAGUGUAUUACGGAAUCGUGAGUGCAAAGUCUUUGCAGAAGGGACUACUAUUGUUUCACCUAUGUCUUCAGCUAGUGCAGCAAAUAUAAGGAAAGCAUGCUCUUUGAGGUAAUUGUUUGAAGCGGAAUCAGUGAGUCAUUGAUACAAGAAUGGCAAUAAUUCAGGCCAGUUGUUGUUUGGGAGAAGUAAAGCACUCAAGCAAUAAAUGGUAUAACAGCGGCGUUCGUUGAUGAAUUGUGAUUCUUCCAAAUUGAUGAUAGGAUUAAAAAGGAAAGAUUUGAUGGCAGAUUGAGUGGAGAUGCUUAGAUUGCGCCAAGUGGUAAAUAAAGAGAUUGAGUGUAAUGAUUUUUUACUAAAAAGGAAAAAACAAGAGGCAAAAAAGAAAGUUGAAAAGAAAGAAUAACAAAAAAAGGGGUAAAGAAGCCCCUUUUUAAUGGGGAGGGAUUUUAAUUUCUUGCACGAGCAGAGGAGCUAAACUUGGUAAAAUACUCAAUUUUUCAUCUCCAACUUCAAUUGCUGUAAAAAUGGUGGAAAUGACGGAAUAUAAAAGACAUUGAAGUGGCGUUUUUGUUGGAGGAAAAAUGGAAUAGAUGGUGGAGUGAAAAAUAGAAAA